This 364-nucleotide ribosomal RNA is filed under the name Lysobacter antibioticus. RNAcentral describes it as "bacterial SSU rRNA". It matches the Rfam family "Bacterial small subunit ribosomal RNA", at positions 557 to 920 of the family's 1533-position model. Lineage: Bacteria; Pseudomonadati; Pseudomonadota; Gammaproteobacteria; Lysobacterales; Lysobacteraceae. The record is from RNAcentral.
GGCGUAAGCGUGCGUAGGUGGUUUGUUAAGUCUGAUGUGAAAGCCCUGGGCUCAACCUGGGAAUGGCAUUGGAAACUGGCUUACUAGAGUGCGGUAGAGGGUAGUGGAAUUCCCGGUGUAGCAGUGAAAUGCGUAGAUAUCGGGAGGAACAUCUGUGGCGAAGGCGACUACCUGGACCAGCACUGACACUGAGGCACGAAAGCGUGGGGAGCAAACAGGAUUAGAUACCCUGGUAGUCCACGCCCUAAACGAUGCGAACUGGAUGUUGGGAGCAACUUGGCUCUCAGUAUCGAAGCUAACGCGUUAAGUUCGCCGCCUGGGAAGUACGGUCGCAAGACUGAAACUCGCAGGAAUUGACGCGAGC